UCAACUUCCUCUCUAUCAAAGAGGGAUAUAAUUCUGCGUAUGUCAUUGGAAUAGGAUCAAAAGUGACCUUUUUCCUUUCGUAACUCGUGCUGGUUUGAUUACUGUUUCGAGGCUGGUAGGCCUGCUGUUGUGGUCGAUGCUGUUGUUGCUGAUAUUGCUGAGGUGGUUGCUAAUUGUUGCUGUGAUGCUGAUACUGUUGAUUGUCUCUGAAAACAGGUGCUAUAUGAGCCACCUGGUGCUGG
Molecule: long non-coding RNA, 242 nt
Filed under: Lathyrus oleraceus (garden pea)
Lineage: Eukaryota; Viridiplantae; Streptophyta; Magnoliopsida; Fabales; Fabaceae
Description: Pisum sativum (pea) long non-coding RNA (PSAT_LNC015175)
Source: RNAcentral